Molecule: long non-coding RNA, 520 nt
Organism: Patiria miniata (bat star)
Lineage: Eukaryota; Metazoa; Echinodermata; Asteroidea; Valvatida; Asterinidae
Exons: 3
Source: RefSeq, a predicted model, not a curated record
UCACUUCAGUAACAAUGGGCUAGGCCCAGCUGUUUUCUCACCCCUGUUCACUUGGGAAAGAUUCGCAGCUUUCAUCACAGACAAGGAGGAUCUAAAAGUUGAGACAGAAUGGAUAAGCAGGCUGCUUUAGCAGGACGAAAAAUGGACCCUAACAGCCUCGUCACACACCCAACCUAGGAGCCGGAAGCAGGGAGGAGGACCAACAGAUGAACGGAUGACCUGCUUGCUGGGCUUCCCAUUACCGAUUCUUGAGCAAAGGAGCACUGACAGGCAUAGAGCUGGCUGGAUGAAGAGGCUGCUUCCAGUCGGUGAGGGCGAGAGGAUGUAGCUCCAAUUUGAAACCAUCGCAUCAAGACAAAACCGAGGAACCGGAAGCAGGGAGGAGGACCGACAGAUGAACUGACGAUCCUGCUUGCUGGGCUUCCCAUUACUGAUUCCCGAGAUCCUCCAAGCUUUCAUCAACGCAGCGCUCAGCAUAUACAGAGAUGGCUAGCUACCUUCCCACUCAUCCCCUCAAGAA